RNAcentral lists this ribosomal RNA (427 nucleotides) under Alternaria alternata. RNAcentral's name for it is "partial large subunit ribosomal RNA". It matches the Rfam family "Eukaryotic large subunit ribosomal RNA", at positions 62 to 496 of the family's 3401-position model. The record is from RNAcentral. Lineage: Eukaryota; Fungi; Ascomycota; Dothideomycetes; Pleosporales; Pleosporaceae.
AAACAGGGGAUUGCCCUAGUAACGGCGAGUGAAGCGGCAACAGCUCAAAUUUGAAAUCUGGCUCUUUUAGAGUCCGAGUUGUAAUUUGCAGAGGGCGCUUUGGCUUUGGCAGCGGUCCAAGUUCCUUGGAACAGGACGUCACAGAGGGUGAGAAUCCCGUACGUGGUCGCUGGCUAUUGCCGUGUAAAGCCCCUUCGACGAGUCGAGUUGUUUGGGAAUGCAGCUCUAAAUGGGAGGUACAUUUCUUCUAAAGCUAAAUAUUGGCCAGAGACCGAUAGCGCACAAGUAGAGUGAUCGAAAGAUGAAAAGCACUUUGGAAAGAGAGUCAAACAGCACGUGAAAUUGUUGAAAGGGAAGCGCUUGCAGCCAGACUUGCUUACAGUUGCUCAUCCGGGUUUCUACCCGGUGCACUCUUCUGUAGGCAGGC